GAAACUCUUUUUCAUUAAUCACACUACUGUAGUCAUAGACUCUCAAACUUAGUCUCUCAAAUCGCAUAGGACUACUUCUCUCUAUCAAAAUUGAUAGAUUUCUUCUAGAUGCACACUCUCCUCAUACAGCGGACUAAUUGUCGCCAAUAUCUACUACAAAGACACAUCGAAACUAUAUUUAUGUGUCAGUCAAACUCUAACAGCCUCAUUACGAGCAGUCAUACCAUC
This 228-nucleotide long non-coding RNA is filed under the name Elaeis guineensis (African oil palm). RNAcentral's name for it is "long non-coding RNA (EGUI_LNC014689)". Lineage: Eukaryota; Viridiplantae; Streptophyta; Magnoliopsida; Arecales; Arecaceae. The record is from RNAcentral.